Molecule: transfer RNA, 76 nt
Filed under: Thermoproteota archaeon
Lineage: Archaea; Thermoproteati; Thermoproteota
Description: Crenarchaeota archaeon (sediment metagenome) tRNA-Glu
Rfam family: tRNA
About the family: Transfer RNA (tRNA) molecules are approximately 80 nucleotides in length. Their secondary structure includes four short double-helical elements and three loops (D, anti-codon, and T loops). Further hydrogen bonds mediate the characteristic L-shaped molecular structure. tRNAs have two regions of fundamental functional importance: the anti-codon, which is responsible for specific mRNA codon recognition, and the 3' end, to which the tRNAs corresponding amino acid is attached (by aminoacyl-tRNA synthetases). tRNAs cope with the degeneracy of the genetic code in two manners: having more than one tRNA (with a specific anti-codon) for a particular amino acid; and 'wobble' base-pairing, i.e. permitting non-standard base-pairing at the 3rd anti-codon position.
Source: RNAcentral
GCCUCGGUAGUUUAGCCCGGAUAAGAAUACCGGCCUCUCAAGCCGGGGAUCGCGGGUUCAAAUCCCGCCCGAGGCA